Small nuclear RNA from Loxodonta africana (African savanna elephant), 103 nucleotides. Lineage: Eukaryota; Metazoa; Chordata; Mammalia; Proboscidea; Elephantidae. The record is from Ensembl.
GUGCUCACCUCGGCAGCACAUAUACUAAAAUUGGAACAAUACAGAGAUUAGCACGGCCCCGAGCAAGGAUGACAUGCAAAUUCGUGAAGCAUUCCAUAUUUUU